AAGUGUAUGAAUAAGUAUAUUUUAUAUGUGUGUGUGUGUGUGUGUGUGUGAUUGGUAUCUCUCGGCUGGGGGUCGUUCCUUCUUUUGUCUCUUUGAUUCCCAUGUGGAAAGAUAUGCUCUGAUAUUAAAACUAACAAUCCCUUAUUGUUCUCUUAUUUCCUCCCCACCCUCUUUACUACCACACCCUCCACCCCAUCCUUUCUUUACUCCUUAACUCUUCAUCUCUUCACUUUAUCUGCUCCUCCUCCUCUUCCUCUUCCUCCUCCUCUUAUCACACUCCUCUUCUCUACUCCUCUCUCUAUCUCUAUCACUUACUUCUUUACAUUCUUGUCUAUCCUUCAUAUAUCCAUCAUAUUUCUUCAUAUAUCAUCGUUUACCCUCAUGUAUCUUCAUAUAUCUUCUCUCCUGGUAGUUGAGACGCAGCAGGGUGGCUCCAGCGGUGUCGUGAUCGCCGUGGUGGUGUGUGUGCUCCUGCUGCUGCUCCUGGUGGCGUCGCUCUACUGCCUCAGCAAGAAGGGAAAGUUGCCGUGCAGCAAAAAGCGGAAGAUGGAAGUAUCUGGGGACGGGAACAAUGCUAACAUAGUGAUGACGGAGACUGGCGAAAAAGAGAAGCAAAACGAGGGGUCAGGACUGCUCAACAAACAGCAGGUCUAA
Molecule: long non-coding RNA, 654 nt
Filed under: Astyanax mexicanus (Mexican tetra)
Lineage: Eukaryota; Metazoa; Chordata; Actinopteri; Characiformes; Acestrorhamphidae
Description: lncRNA (ENSAMXG00005016966.1)
Source: RNAcentral